Molecule: long non-coding RNA, 445 nt
Filed under: Nicotiana tabacum (common tobacco)
Lineage: Eukaryota; Viridiplantae; Streptophyta; Magnoliopsida; Solanales; Solanaceae
Description: long non-coding RNA (NTAB_LNC011646)
Source: RNAcentral
UCCAUGCAAUCAGCAUUAGGGUUCUAAACCCUAAACUGAAUUUUCCUUUUAGUCAGCAUUAGGGUUUUAAACCUUAAACUGAACUUUUUCCUUUUCAGCCAGCAUUAGGGUUUUAAACCCUAAACUGAGCUUUUCCAUGCAAUUAGCAUUAGGGUUCUAAACCCUAAACUGAAUUUUCCUUUUAGUCAGCAUUAGGGUUUUAAACCCUAAACUGAACUUUUUCCUUUCAGCCAGCAUUAGGGUUUUAAACCCUAAACUGAGCUUUUUCAUGCAAUCAGCAUUAGGGUUUUAAACCCUAAACUGAAUUUUUCCUUUUAGUCAGCAUUAGGGUUUUAAACCCUAAACUGAAUUUUUUCUUUUAGUCAGCAUUAGGGUUUUAAACCCUAAACUGAAAUUUUUCCUUUAGCCAGCAUUAGGGUUUUAAACCCUAAACUGAGCUUUUCCU